AGAGCGAACGCUGGCGGCAGGCCUAACACAUGCAAGUCGAGCGCCCGUAGCAAUACGGGAGCGGCAGACGGGAUAGUAACACGUGGGAACGCGCCCUUCGGUUCGGAAUAACUCAGGGAAACUUGAGCUAAUACCGGAUACGCCCUUACGGGGAAAGAUUUAUUGCCGAAGGAACGGCCCGCGUCCGAUUAGCUAGUUGGUGAGGUAAUGGCUCACCAAGGCGACGAUCGGUAGCUGGUCUGAGAGGAUGACCAGCAUCACUGGGACUGAGACACGGCCCAGACUCCUACGGGAGGCAGCAGUGGGGAAUAUUGGACAAUGGGCGCAAGCCUGAUCCAGCCAUGCCGCGUGGAUGAUGAAGGCCUUAGGGUUGUAAAGUCCUUUUAACGGGGAAGAUAAUGACGGUACCCGUAGAAUAAGCCCCGGCUAACUACGUGCCAGCAGCCGC
This 448-nucleotide ribosomal RNA is filed under the name uncultured bacterium. RNAcentral's name for it is "SSU rRNA". It matches the Rfam family "Bacterial small subunit ribosomal RNA", at positions 26 to 518 of the family's 1533-position model. The record is from RNAcentral.